This 253-nucleotide ribosomal RNA is filed under the name uncultured bacterium. Its description in RNAcentral is "partial 16S ribosomal RNA". It matches the Rfam family "Bacterial small subunit ribosomal RNA", at positions 524 to 776 of the family's 1533-position model. The record is from RNAcentral.
GACGUAGGAGGCGAGCGUUGUCCGGAUUCAUUGGGCGUAAAGAGCACGCAGGCGGUUUGGCAAGUCGGAUGUGAAAACCCGGAGCUCAACUCCGGGCGUGCAUCCGAUACUGCCCGACUAGAGGUAGGUAGGGGAGAUCGGAAUUCCUGGUGUAGCGGUGAAAUGCGCAGAUAUCAGGAGGAACACCGGUGGCGAAGGCGGAUCUCUGGGCCUUACCUGACGCUCAGGUGCGAAAGCGUGGGGAGCGAACAGG